This 521-nucleotide ribosomal RNA is filed under the name uncultured bacterium. RNAcentral's name for it is "bacterial SSU rRNA". It matches the Rfam family "Archaeal small subunit ribosomal RNA", at positions 345 to 866 of the family's 1478-position model. The record is from RNAcentral.
AACCUCCGCAAUGUGAGAAAUCGCGACGGGGGGAUCCCAAGUGCCAUUCUUAACGGGAUGGCUUUUCAUUAGUGUAAAGAGCUUUUGGAAUAAGAGCUGGGCAAGACCGGUGCCAGCCGCCGCGGUAACACCGGCAGCUCUAGUGGUAACAAUUUUUAUUGGGCCUAAAGCGUCCGUAGCCGGUUUAAUAAGUCUCUGGUGAAAUCCUGUAGCUUAACUGUGGGAAUUGCUGGAGAUACUAUUAGACUUGAGACCGGGAGAGGUUAGAGGUACUCCCAGGGUAGAGGUGAAAUUCUGUAAUCCUGGGAGGACCGCCUGUUGCGAAGGCGUCUAACUGGAACGGUUCUGACGGUGAGGGACGAAAGUUAGGGGCGCGAACCGGAUUAGAUACCCGGGUAGUCCUAACUGUAAACGAUGCGGACUUGGUGUUGGGGUGGCUUUGAGCUGCUCCAGUGCCGAAGGGAAGCUGUUAAGUCCGCCGCCUGGGAAGUCGGUACGCAAGACUGAAACUUAAAGGAAUU